AUUGAACGCUGGCGGCAUGCCUUACACAUGCAAGUCGAACGGCAGCACGGGAGCAAUCCUGGUGGCGAGUGGCGAACGGGUGAGUAAUACAUCGGAACGUGUCCAGUUGUGGGGGAUAGCCCGGCGAAAGCCGGAUUAAUACCGCAUACGACCUACGGGUGAAAGCGGGGAUCGCAAGACCUCGCGCUAUUGGGGCGGCCGAUGUCAGAUUAGCUUGUUGGUGGGGUAAAAGCCUACCAAGGCGACGAUCUGUAGCUGGUCUGAGAGGACGACCAGCCACACUGGGACUGAGAAACGGCCCAGACUCCUACGGGAGGCAGCAGUGGGGAAUUUUGGACAAUGGGCGCAAGCCUGAUCCAGCCAUGCCGCGUGC
This 373-nucleotide ribosomal RNA is filed under the name uncultured bacterium. Its description in RNAcentral is "bacterial SSU rRNA". It matches the Rfam family "Bacterial small subunit ribosomal RNA", at positions 30 to 404 of the family's 1533-position model. The record is from RNAcentral.